RNAcentral lists this long non-coding RNA (1340 nucleotides) under Gopherus agassizii (Agassiz's desert tortoise). Its description in RNAcentral is "lncRNA (ENSGAGG00000014194.1)". The record is from RNAcentral. Lineage: Eukaryota; Metazoa; Chordata; Testudines; Testudinidae.
GUAUUUUCUGGACGUUAUAACAAAAAGGUUGAUUUUCCUUUCUCUCUUCUUUUCAGUUAUACAACGGAAGCUGCAGAGCAGGUAGUACAAUAAAUCAUUCAUACGGCUUUGAGUUUUUCCCCAAAAAAGUUUUUUUCGGUUUGGGCUAUAUUUCUUUUCUUCGCCUGUGAGAUCAAACUGAAAAUCAUGUUUAUGUUUUCUAGGCCUGGGGCAGAUUACAGAAAGGCACAAACGUUCUCAGGUAAUUCUAAAGAAUGAAAUGGGAGGAUAAAGCCAAAUUCAAACCCUCCAGUUCCUGAGGAACAGGGCUGGGCCUCUUCAUAGUGCCAUGGGGGAAGAGUAUUAGAUCAUUUCAGUAGUCAGAUACGUUGGGGAUGGGCAUGAUAUAAAUAUUAAAAUAGAUUAGCUAAAUUAGAUUGAAUCUUCCUUCCACAGACCAUGGAGCAGCAACAAAGAUGCUUCACUAGCUACAUCGGUAUUCCCCAGCAUAGGGAAUUGCUCCUCAUAGCGGCAAUGUGAAAGGUGGCUUAGUGAAGGGGGAUGGCCAGAGUAUUACUGCUCUCCAGUUAUCUUCAAUGUUGUAAUGGCCCCUUGGAUGCAGCCAAGCAUAGUUUAAACAUCAGUGUGGCUGCUCUAUGUUCUGAGAAAUGAGCCUGCCCUAGUAGGGAUGGAACAGUAGAAGACAGCAGAACUUUCACAGUCUCUGAACUCAAAAGUAAGGGGUUCAAAAGUAGGCCGAAUGAGUUUGCCCAUCCCUAAUGAAGUGCUCGUUUGCAUUUGUUACCUAUUAAUUUUUUUUAAAAAUUUUAGGGCAUGAAAAUGCUAUGGAUGACUUUGGAAUAUAUGAAUUUGUUGCUUUUCCAGACCCCACUGGUGUUCCUACGGUUCCAAGUCAACCUGUUUCUGGCUCUGACUUUGUCCAAGGGCAGGAUUUACACAGUACAGUUUAUGAAGUUAUUCAGCAUAUUCCAGAACAACAGGAAGACCAUCAAGAAGGUACAUGAAGAUGCAAGCACAGCAAAUCAAGACAUCCUAAUGCAAAUGUUAACUUCUGUGUCUUUACUGGAAAUGGAAAGCAAAUGUCUGCCGCUCUCAAAAUGGCAAAAGGACUAAGCUAGCUUCUAAAAUGAUAAUACUUUCUUAAUCUAGCCAUUCUUUUUUCUUUCUUGCUCCUAACAUACUGGAUUUGGUUAUUGAUUUUGUUUAACUAAUGGUUUCUUGAAGCUGCUGGGAUUUUUUAAUUGCUGAAAAUUUUUUGCAUUCUGAACUGCAAAAAGAAAACAGAGCCAAAAGAAAAUAUAGAUAAUAAAUACUAUAUCAUUAAGUCUGGGAUUGCUGCC